This 615-nucleotide long non-coding RNA is filed under the name Ananas comosus (pineapple). RNAcentral's name for it is "long non-coding RNA (ACOM_LNC039434)". The record is from RNAcentral. Lineage: Eukaryota; Viridiplantae; Streptophyta; Magnoliopsida; Poales; Bromeliaceae.
UCAAUUCGAUGGAAAAAGUAAUCUUUUUUUUUUAGAAAAGGUUUAAGGUUUGGGAGGGUUGCGGUGGGUCGCGCAGCUCAGGUUAUGGGAGUGGGCGCGGCAUGCGUAGGAACGGGUAGGAUGGGUGGGUGGUGCGAUAGGAGGAGGAGAUCUGAGGGGAUGAAGAAGGCAAGGGUCAGAGAGUGUUUUCGAGAAUGAAAAAAGCCUUGGGAGUGGGACCGGUUUCUUUCUUCCGUUUCCCCUCCGUCACUGGCUUUAGCUAUUAGAUCUGGCAUAGAUCUUGAAGCACAACCAAUGGUUACAAAUUUAUGAGUACAGCAGCUACUAUACUCAUAACUCAUAAGAGUAAGUAGCUGCACACACACACACACACUCUCUCUCUCUCUCUCUCUCUCUCUCUCUCUCUCUCUCUCUCUCUAUAUAUAUAUAUAUUAUUUAUAAAAUGCGUGAGUUUUGAAUUUUUUUCUCUUUUCAAAAACGUAUAUCUUUUUUUUACUAAUGUUUUUAUGUCCAGUAAUUUUAUCCAUUCAUUUCAAAUAAAUUUUCAAAUAAUAAUUUAUUCUCAAAUAUAAAUGUUAAGUUUUUACCAUUGGAUUCUCAAACAUAAUACAUGUC